AGUGAACGCUGGCGGUAGGCCUAAAACAUGCAAGUCGAACGGCAGCACAGUAAGAGCUUGCUCUUACGGGUGGCGAGUGGCGGACGGGUGAGGAAUACAUCGGAAUCUACUUUUUCGUGGGGGAUAACGUAGGGAAACUUACGCUAAUACCGCAUACGACCUACGGGUGAAAGCAGGGGAUCUUCGGACCUUGCGCGAUUGAAUGAGCCGAUGUCGGAUUAGCUAGUUGGCGGGGUAAAGGCCCACCAAGGCGACGAUCCGUAGCUGGUCUGAGAGGAUGAUCAGCCACACUGGAACUGAGACACGGUCCAGACUCCUACGGGAGGCAGCAGUGGGGAAUAUUGGACAAUGGGCGCAAGCCUGAUCCAGCCAUACCGCGUGGGUGAAGAAGGCCUUCGGGUUGUAAAGCCCUUUUGUUGGGAAAGAAAAGCAGCAGGUUAAUACCCCGCUGUUCUGACGGUACCCAAAGAAUAAGCACCGGCUAACUUCGUA
This 492-nucleotide ribosomal RNA is filed under the name uncultured bacterium. Its description in RNAcentral is "partial 16S ribosomal RNA". It matches the Rfam family "Bacterial small subunit ribosomal RNA", at positions 29 to 507 of the family's 1533-position model. The record is from RNAcentral.